Molecule: ribosomal RNA, 301 nt
Filed under: uncultured bacterium
Lineage: Bacteria
Description: partial 16S ribosomal RNA
Rfam family: Bacterial small subunit ribosomal RNA
Source: RNAcentral
CAGUAACCGCGGUAAAACGAAGGGGGCUAGCGUUGCUCGGAAUCACUGGGCGUAAAGGGUGCGUAGGCGGGUCUUUAAGUCAGGGGUGAAAUCCUGGAGCUCAACUCCAGAACUGCCUUUGAUACUGAAGAUCUUGAGUUCGGGAGAGGUGAGUGGAACUGCGAGUGUAGAGGUGAAAUUCGUAGAUAUUCGCAAGAACACCAGUGGCGAAGGCGGCUCACUGGCCCGAUACUGACGCUGAGGCACGAAAGCGUGGGGAGCAAACAGGAUUAGAUACCCGUGUAGUCCCUGUCUCUUAUAC